This 71-nucleotide transfer RNA is filed under the name Marmota monax (woodchuck). RNAcentral's name for it is "tRNA.Ala". It matches the Rfam family "tRNA". Rfam says of the family: Transfer RNA (tRNA) molecules are approximately 80 nucleotides in length. Their secondary structure includes four short double-helical elements and three loops (D, anti-codon, and T loops). Lineage: Eukaryota; Metazoa; Chordata; Mammalia; Rodentia; Sciuridae. The record is from RNAcentral.
GAGGUUGUGGCUCAGUGAUAGAGUGCUUGCUUAGCAUGUGUGAGGCCCUGGGUUCGAUUCUCAGCACCACA